AACGAACGCUGGCGGCAGGCUUAACACAUGCAAGUCGAACGUGAAGCUGGAGCUUGCUCCAGUGGAAAGUGGCAGACGGGUGAGUAACGCAUGGGAAUUUACCCAGUGGUUCGGAAUAACUUCAGGAAACCGGAGCUAAUACCGAAUACGCCCUUCGGGGGAAAGAUUUAUCGCCAUUGGAUAAGCCCGCGUCGGAUUAGCUUGUUGGUGAGGUAAAAGCUCACCAAGGCGACGAUCCGUAGCUGGUCUGAGAGGAUGAUCAGCCACACUGGGACUGAGACACGGCCCAGACUCCUACGGGAGGCAGCAGUGGGGAAUAUUGCGCAAUGGAGGAAACUCUGACGCAGCCAUGCCGCGUGAGUGAAGAAGGCCUUAGGGUUGUAAAACUCUUUCGCUAGGGAAGAUAAUGACGGUACCUAGUAAAGAAGCCCCGCCAACU
This 439-nucleotide ribosomal RNA is filed under the name uncultured bacterium. RNAcentral's name for it is "bacterial SSU rRNA". It matches the Rfam family "Bacterial small subunit ribosomal RNA", at positions 29 to 502 of the family's 1533-position model. The record is from RNAcentral.